This 253-nucleotide ribosomal RNA is filed under the name uncultured bacterium. RNAcentral's name for it is "partial 16S ribosomal RNA". It matches the Rfam family "Bacterial small subunit ribosomal RNA", at positions 524 to 776 of the family's 1533-position model. The record is from RNAcentral.
UACGUAGGCAGCAAGCGUUGUUCGGAAUUACUGGGCGUAAAGCGUGCGCAGGCGGUUCGUUGUGUCGGCGGUGAAAGCCCCGGGCUUAACCUGGGAAUGGCCGUCGAAACUGGCGAACUGGAGUGUGGCAGAGGGGGGUGGAAUUCCGCGUGUAGCAGUGAAAUGCGUAGAGAUGCGGAGGAACACCGAUGGCGAAGGCAGCCCCCUGGGCUGACACUGACGCUCAGGCACGAAAGCGUGGGGAGCAAACAGG